This is a long non-coding RNA of Ruditapes philippinarum (Manila clam), 436 nucleotides long. RefSeq lists it as uncharacterized. The transcript is spliced from 3 exons. NCBI's taxonomy places the organism in Eukaryota, Metazoa, Mollusca, Bivalvia, Venerida, Veneridae. The record is from RefSeq and is a predicted model, not a curated record.
UAUCGUGAUACAUAUUCAUAUUCGCUACCCAAUGUAGUCGUUGCAGCUCUAGCUUAGUGUUGAAACUACAUGUACAUGCAUAUUUUCAGUAUUCUCGAUGAAUGGGUGUUUGCCAAAUUGAAGGGAAUUCCUUCAACUAUGCGAUGGCCUGUUCAGGUGCUAAAAACCAGUUCAGAUGGUAAUAUAGAUGUUUUCUGCAAGUCAGAUUAUGCUGUAAUCCUUGGCAAAAAAGAAAGCAUUAUUACAGUGUUUCCUUACAGAUUUACAGUUGGCCUCUGAUAAUUUGUUGCGAAAGAAGAAGGAAAAAAGGAGCCGAAACAAGAAAGAGAUUAUUCUAAGAUCAAAUUGCAGUAAAUUAAAAAUAUUAUAGUAAAGGUAAAGCUAUUGUACAUUCUCCUAGCAUUUGUCUUUCCUUACAAUCCUGUCGUAGCCAUUA